This 820-nucleotide ribosomal RNA is filed under the name Mycobacterium sp. RNAcentral's name for it is "bacterial SSU rRNA". It matches the Rfam family "Bacterial small subunit ribosomal RNA", at positions 109 to 928 of the family's 1533-position model. Lineage: Bacteria; Bacillati; Actinomycetota; Actinomycetes; Mycobacteriales; Mycobacteriaceae. The record is from RNAcentral.
AGUAACACGUGGGCAAUCUGCCCUGCACUUCGGGAUAAGCCUGGGAAACUGGGUCUAAUACCGGAUAGGACCUUUAGACGCAUGUCUUUUGGUGGAAAGCUUUUGCGGUGUGGGAUGGGCCCGCGGCCUAUCAGCUUGUUGGUGGGGUGAUGGCCUACCAAGGCGACGACGGGUAGCCGGCCUGAGAGGGUGUCCGGCCACACUGGGACUGAGAUACGGCCCAGACUCCUACGGGAGGCAGCAGUGGGGAAUAUUGCACAAUGGGCGCAAGCCUGAUGCAGCGACGCCGCGUGGGGGAUGACGGCCUUCGGGUUGUAAACCUCUUUCACCAUCGACGAAGGUUCGGGUUUUCUCGGAUUGACGGUAGGUGGAGAAGAAGCACCGGCCAACUACGUGCCAGCAGCCGCGGUAAUACGUAGGGUGCGAGCGUUGUCCGGAAUUACUGGGCGUAAAGAGCUCGUAGGUGGUUUGUCGCGUUGUUCGUGAAAUCUCACGGCUUAACUGUGAGCGUGCGGGCGAUACGGGCAGACUAGAGUACUGCAGGGGAGACUGGAAUUCCUGGUGUAGCGGUGGAAUGCGCAGAUAUCAGGAGGAACACCGGUGGCGAAGGCGGGUCUCUGGGCAGUAACUGACGCUGAGGAGCGAAAGCGUGGGGAGCGAACAGGAUUAGAUACCCUGGUAGUCCACGCCGUAAACGGUGGGUACUAGGUGUGGGUUUCCUUCCUUGGGAUCCGUGCCGUAGCUAACGCAUUAAGUACCCCGCCUGGGGAGUACGGCCGCAAGGCUAAAACUCAAAGGAAUUGACGGGGGGCCCGCACAA